This 93-nucleotide non-coding RNA is filed under the name Rhodnius prolixus. Its description in RNAcentral is "sRNA-Xcc1". It matches the Rfam family "sRNA-Xcc1". The record is from Rfam by way of RNAcentral. Lineage: Eukaryota; Metazoa; Arthropoda; Insecta; Hemiptera; Reduviidae.
GGUCGGGUAGCGAGCAGUCUAUACAACACCUGCUUUGGUGGGGAAAACUGCUGGCCGUCUCUAUUCGGUGUUGAAGUACCCGACCACCCUAUC